RNAcentral lists this unclassified non-coding RNA (217 nucleotides) under soil metagenome. Its description in RNAcentral is "partial contains 5.8S ribosomal RNA, internal transcribed spacer 2, and large subunit ribosomal RNA". The record is from RNAcentral.
AACUGAUACUACCUGCGGGAACCUGCGGAAGGAUCAUUACCGAGUUUACAACUCCCAAACCCAUGUGAACAUACCUAUCGUUGCUUCGGCGGGAUCGCCCCGGGCGCCUUGCGUGCCCCGGAUCCAGGCACCCGCCGGGGGACCUUAACUCUUGUUUUAUUUAGAAUCUUCUGAGUAGUUUUUACAAAUAAAUAAAAACUUUCAACAACGGAUCUCU